UAGGGAAUCUUCCACAAUGGACGCAAGUCUGAUGGAGCAACGCCGCGUGAGUGAAGAAGGUUUUCGGACCGUAAAGCUCUGUUGUUGGUGAAGAAGGAUAGAGGUAGUAACUGGCCUUUAUUUGACGGUAAUCAACCAGAAAGUCACGGCUAACUACGUGCCAGCAGCCGCGGUAAUACGUAGGUGGCAAGCGUUGUCCGGGUUUAUUGGGCGUAAAGCGAGCGCAGGCGGAAGAAUA
This 238-nucleotide ribosomal RNA is filed under the name uncultured bacterium. RNAcentral describes it as "partial 16S ribosomal RNA". It matches the Rfam family "Bacterial small subunit ribosomal RNA", at positions 355 to 585 of the family's 1533-position model. The record is from RNAcentral.